Heterocephalus glaber (naked mole-rat) is the source of this 302-nucleotide long non-coding RNA. The record is from Ensembl. NCBI's taxonomy places the organism in Eukaryota, Metazoa, Chordata, Mammalia, Rodentia, Bathyergidae.
CAAGGAACCCUGGGGACCUCCAGCCAAGAUCCAGAAAGAAGCCUGUGCCUUCAGCCACGGAUCCUCAAAUAAAAGAAUUCUGCCAACAACCCCAAUGAGCUUGGAAGCAAAUUUUUCCCAGCCAAGUCUCCAGAGGAGAAUGCAGACCAACUAACAUCUUGGUUGCAACAUCUUGACUCCACAGGCAGAACACUCAGGGAUCAAACUUGGAACCUUGUGCUUGCAAGGCAGGCAGCAGAACCACUGAGUUAAAUCCCCAGCCCUGAGAAAAACGGAUGGCUCUGGACAUCAUCAUGUUGAGA